This 1872-nucleotide transfer RNA is filed under the name Kluyveromyces marxianus. RNAcentral describes it as "tRNA-Ile". The record is from RNAcentral. Lineage: Eukaryota; Fungi; Ascomycota; Saccharomycetes; Saccharomycetales; Saccharomycetaceae.
CUAAUCUCUCUUUAAAGAGUUUGGUCUAAUAAAGUUUGGAUCAGGAACGUAGCUUACGCCCUUGAAUUCUUUUUCCUUGUUAUGAGUGUGUUCGGCAAUCAAGAAACCCAAGUCAACUAGCUUAGGCCAGUUGACGUAUUGAACACCCUUCUUCAGCACAAAGUUAGCACAAGCAAUCAUGACUCCAAUGGAACCAAAGAAGAAGGCGAGGUUUUUAGGACUGGUGAAAUGAUCCUUAGGGAACACAAUCGUUGCCAUCAUCACGGUAAUUGCUGCGUAAACAACCGUUGGUAUAGCCUGGAUGAUCAUUGGUCUUCUGUCAGGGAAAGGAGAGUGUACCACAUUUGCAUAUGGCUUGAAGUUGCCCAAGAAUAAGUCGUAUGCGUCCUGUCUAGGUCCAUCGGACAAAUUAUUCUGGUAAUAACGAGACAGAGAAUUGAUACCGUCCAUCAAUGCACCUACGUAAGUGCGCUUACCGGUUCUGGUAAAGUCAGUCUUCAAAGCACCUGUACCCGAAUAUGCGACACUCACAGCAUCGGCAUUGUCAGCCCAGAAGUUUUGGAAUUCGAACAAUAAAUUCUUGUCAGAUUCCCACAAAUUGGUGUCAUCGGUUAGCCCAACAGAUUUGAACUCCUCUUGUAGCACCCAGUGAGCUAGCACUGAUUGCACGACAUUGGUUCUAUCUAAGCAGUCCAUACAGUUUGUUCUUACAACGGAUUGUUGCUUGGAAAUAAUUUGGAUAGUGUUACCAUUGGCAUCCAUAGUCUUAUGGAAAAAGUCUUUGUUUGAAAGCCCCAUAGACUCCAACUGGUUGAGUAGAAGCUUCACCUUGUGCCAUUGCAUGUUACGGCACUCAUGGUGGAAGUCAAAGUAGACAUAAUGAAGCUUUGGUUCUUCUAAAGCAUUCACGACUUGCUCAUAGGCCUCCUUCACUGGCAACUCAUGACCCUUUUGAUUCACAAGGUUGACCAAAUAGUUCUCAUUGUACAAGCGAAUUUGCUCAUCAAAGUGUUUUCUUGUAGCGUCCAAAGAGCUCUUCUCGCUCAAUAGCAAUUGCGGCUUGUAUUUCAAGUUGUUCAACUCAGCCCAAUACACAGGAACAGACCCUCUGGUUUGCAAGAAUGAAAACAAAUGAUAGCCAUCCUUCAUUGGUUUUUGAACGCAUAGCACUUGUUCAGUUUCAUUGAAGUUCCCAACGUUUCCGUCUUCAUCAAUACCUCUACGGAAGUAUCUAGUACCUGCCCUGUAAAUACUUCUUCUGGUGAUCAAACCAACGGACACUGGUGUACUGUUAAAAGUGGUGUCCACCACUUUCGCGUAACCGUAAAUCAUUGGAAUGAUGAAAUCGGAAACUCUAUCAUCCACUUCCGUAGCCUUGCGUAAUGUCUCCGUCGCAUAAUGGUUCCAGAAAAAUCUGGUGUCAGCAGUCUUCCAAGACACACCUUCAAUACUCUCGUUCCGCUGAACGCUAUUCGUCAAGUCGUACCCGUACGAAAAGUACAAAGUAGCACUAUCCAAGUGACGAUCCACAAGCUGCAAGUACUGCGAUUCAUCAGCAUCUGAACGCUGUUUUUUGUCAAUAGAUAUCAAAUUAUGCUCUGCAACCUUGUACACAUUAUGUCCGUUCAAACGACCGGCUUCUUCCACUCUAUUUGCGAUAACAAGAUACUUCCCAAUCUUCAACUGCAAGAUACCAAUCACCGCAGCAAUCUUCCGGAUAUUACCCCUCGCUGGAAAAACAUCAGCUGGCAACACAUUCACCUCGUUCUCAUGAGCAGAAAUACCCAAAACAACGUCGUUCUUUCCAAGCUUACUGCUUUGCUUUAAAAGAACCCUAUCUUUCUCUUGACAUAGUAAAACUGGACCUCUCAU